This 201-nucleotide long non-coding RNA is filed under the name Lathyrus oleraceus (garden pea). RNAcentral's name for it is "Pisum sativum (pea) long non-coding RNA (PSAT_LNC031724)". Lineage: Eukaryota; Viridiplantae; Streptophyta; Magnoliopsida; Fabales; Fabaceae. The record is from RNAcentral.
UUAAAAUAAACCAUUUAUUUUAAAACACCUAUCAUCACAUGCACACCUUUACUUAGGCUCAUCGCAACAUAAUUAAUCGUUAAAACAACUACUCAUUCAAAUAAGUUCAAUCAUGACUUUUAUUUGAAAUUAAACUCAAUCAGGGAAAUAUACCUUCAACAACAAAGCAAAUAAAAAACAAGAGUUAUAACAAAUAAUCUC